AUUGAACGCUGGCGGAAUGCUUAACACAUGCAAGUCGAGCGGGGUGUAGCAAUACAUCUAGCGGCGGACGGGUGAGGAAUACAUAGGAAUCUGCCUCAGAGCGGGGGAUAGCCCGGGGAAACCCGGAUUAAUACCGCAUGAUGUCGCAAAGAACCAAAGGUGGGGGACCGCAACGGCCCCACACUCUGAGAGGAGCCUAUGUCUGAUUAGCUAGUU
Molecule: ribosomal RNA, 216 nt
Filed under: uncultured bacterium
Lineage: Bacteria
Description: partial 16S ribosomal RNA
Rfam family: Bacterial small subunit ribosomal RNA
Source: RNAcentral